CUGUACAGAAAAAUGAGAUCAUCAAACAUUUUGCAAAUGGAUCAAUAACUGCACUUGUAAGGUCUUCCCAAAAUACAAUUAUCAAGGCUGCUAUUUAUCAAUCAAGCAAAGGAGUAUACUUUACAAAAUAAAAUCCAGAACAAUCUGGGGAUAUAUAAAAUAACUACAGAUUGCAAGUAAAACUAAAGGGACUGCCUGCAAGCCAAUGAAUCAGAAAAAAUGGAACAUCAGAAAAAAUGAUAAUGUCAGGAAACAAAAGGAGAGAGAGACCAUAAAAUAUACAAGUUUGAGAAUAUACGGCAAAUCUCCAGAGCAUUUGGCAUGCAGUCAAAUGUGCUCAUGUAUAUCUCUUUCUCAUCAGCAGUAGUUCAAAUACUUCAGAUAGAAAUCCCUCUCCAGCCAGUGAACUCUGCAAUUCUAAGACAUAUUCUAGCCUUUAAACUAAACUCAAAACGUUGUGCUAGUUGAUAAUGUAAAUGGUUUGCGUAAACAAUAGCAAAACUUCACAUCAAACCCACUUAGCGAAUAUAUACUCAUAAUCCCAUGAAGAAAACCCACUUAGUGAAUAUACACUCAUAAUCCCAAGAAGAAACACCCAUCACGUCUGGCAUUACCAAAAAUAACCUCUUCCCUUCUGCUAAUCUUAGAGACCAAAGGAAAUAGUUGAGAAGUUUCAACAUCCAAUUGGCAUCACACCAAUUCUGAAGGAGAGCAAGCAAGCACUU
Molecule: unclassified non-coding RNA, 725 nt
Filed under: Hevea brasiliensis (rubber tree)
Lineage: Eukaryota; Viridiplantae; Streptophyta; Magnoliopsida; Malpighiales; Euphorbiaceae
Source: RNAcentral